GGACCUAUAGCUCAACGGUUAGAGCAACCUACUUCAUAACCGGUUGGUUACAGGUUCGAAUCCUGUUGGGUCCACCA
RNAcentral lists this transfer RNA (77 nucleotides) under Mycoplasmopsis felis. RNAcentral's name for it is "tRNA-OTHER". It matches the Rfam family "tRNA". From Rfam's summary of the family: Transfer RNA (tRNA) molecules are approximately 80 nucleotides in length. Their secondary structure includes four short double-helical elements and three loops (D, anti-codon, and T loops). Further hydrogen bonds mediate the characteristic L-shaped molecular structure. tRNAs have two regions of fundamental functional importance: the anti-codon, which is responsible for specific mRNA codon recognition, and the 3' end, to which the tRNAs corresponding amino acid is attached (by aminoacyl-tRNA synthetases). tRNAs cope with the degeneracy of the genetic code in two manners: having more than one tRNA (with a specific anti-codon) for a particular amino acid; and 'wobble' base-pairing, i.e. permitting non-standard base-pairing at the 3rd anti-codon position. The record is from RNAcentral. Lineage: Bacteria; Bacillati; Mycoplasmatota; Mycoplasmoidales; Metamycoplasmataceae.